This 378-nucleotide ribosomal RNA is filed under the name Weissella cibaria. Its description in RNAcentral is "bacterial LSU rRNA". It matches the Rfam family "Bacterial large subunit ribosomal RNA", at positions 1 to 371 of the family's 2925-position model. Lineage: Bacteria; Bacillati; Bacillota; Bacilli; Lactobacillales; Lactobacillaceae. The record is from RNAcentral.
GAUAGGUUAAGUUAUUAAGGGCGCAUGGUGGAUGCCUUGGCACUAGGAGCCGAUGAAGGACGGGACUAACACCGAUAUGCUUCGGGGAGCUGUAAGUAAGCUUUGAUCCGGAGAUUUCCGAAUGGGGGAACCCAACUUGUUAUGCAAGUUAUCACCUAAUGAAUAUAUAGUUAGGCUGAAGGUAGACGUUGUGAACUGAAACAUCUCAUUAGCAACAGGAAUAGAAAGAAAAAUCGAUACCGUCAGUAGCGGCGAGCGAAAUCGGUAGAGCCCAAACCAAAGUGCUUGCACUUUGGGGUUGUAGGACUGUCGUUGUGGAGUUACAAAAUUGUUUAUUAGCAGAAUCAGCUGGGAAGCUGAGCGAGACAGGGUGAUAGC